This is a long non-coding RNA of Penaeus monodon (black tiger shrimp), 422 nucleotides long. RefSeq lists it as uncharacterized. The record is from RefSeq and is a predicted model, not a curated record. The transcript is spliced from 2 exons. Lineage: Eukaryota; Metazoa; Arthropoda; Malacostraca; Decapoda; Penaeidae.
CAGUUGCUCCGGAGCCAGAGCCAGAGCCAGAGCCUCUACCUGUGCCUGCACCCCGAAAGACCCGUUUGAGACUGGUCGUCCUACAGCAGGUGAACCUCCCAUAGAAGACAACUUACGAAUUGCUGUCAUGUUUUAUGGAUCCAACGGACUGUUGCUAUUCGUCUUUAUUGAAAGUAUUGUCAUUUCAUGCUAACUCGCCAUCAUUAGCACCAUCAUCUGCAAUGCUAACUCGCCAUCAUUAGCACAAGGAUAAAGAGCUUUAAUACAUUUCUUGUCAUGAAAAUUUGUGGAAACUCUCUUGGUAGAACAUUAGCGACCAAAGUAGCAUGGUGUUGUAAUGCAGAUAAUCACCCUUUCAUGUAUUUGUAGAAAUUGCUCGUGGAAGUGUAUGUAAGAUUGACAAAUAAACAUCGCUAACCUCA